Molecule: ribosomal RNA, 675 nt
Filed under: Phlebia sp.
Lineage: Eukaryota; Fungi; Basidiomycota; Agaricomycetes; Polyporales; Meruliaceae
Description: partial small subunit ribosomal RNA
Rfam family: Bacterial small subunit ribosomal RNA
Source: RNAcentral
UCCUUACUUGUGUCAAGUUGAGGAUAAAGGAUUGGAAAAUAAUGAUAGUACUUUCCUAUUAGUGUUGUCAAAAUACUGGUGCCAGAAGACUCGGUAAGGCCAGAAACGCUAACGUUAGUAGUCUUAAACAGGCGUAAAGGGUUCGUAGACUUCUUCGGAUUACUAUGUACUCCCUAAUUUUCAAUUAACUUAAAUAAUUUACUAUAAGUAAAUAUAUUGUUCUACUAUUUGUAGGUGAGCUUUUGGGUAAUUUUAUUAUAAGGUAAAUUAGGUAAAAAUAAAAAAGAAUUCUACAUAUUAUACCGGUAAUAUUUAAACAAUAAAUAGGAUAUUUUAUGUCUAAUUUAAUAUUAUUUUUAGAUAAGGCGUAGUAAUCAAAAACGAAGAUAGAAUUUUAUGCGAGGUACAUAAACAAAUGCUUUAAGUAAGGGUGAAAUCUUUAGAUCUAAAGUGGAAGACUAAGGGCGAAAGCUAUUUACCUAGUAAAAAUUGACGUUGAGGAACGUAGGUUAGGAUCGAAAAAAGGAUUAGAUACCCAAGUAUCCCUAUCUGUUAACGAUGAAUGGUUAGUUAUUCAGUUAAUAUAUAUCUUCGAAGAUAUAUAUCAUAAAACUGUGAAGCGUAGCUAACGCAAUUACCAUUCCGCCUUGUGAGUACGACUGCAAAGUUGAAAAC